GUAGGCGAGUAAUCCCCGGAUGUACUGUUUCAGCGAAGAUUCUGAAGGGUUCAUCGAGGGAUAGUUUUCAAUCCCAGAAUGCCACACGAAAGGGAUAAAUCGUCAUCGAACGUGAAGGAGAGCAGCGUAGAGGGUGUUUACAAAGAUCUUUUGUGGUGGAGCAGGUGACAGCAGCAUCUGUUGAAAAAACCUGAAAGAAAAAUCUAAAGAUCUGAAAUGUCUGCAGACAGCUGUGUGCACUGAGGAUGGAGAAGAUGGAGUGCCAUGGGUGAAAUGCUCCAUCACUGCAUCUCCUCUUGUUUUCUCAUCAGGACCAGAUGUUGCUGUGGUCUCUUCAUCUUCAGUGACCCCAGAGCCAGCGAGAACAUUUAGAGAGAG
Molecule: long non-coding RNA, 378 nt
Organism: Carassius gibelio (silver crucian carp)
Lineage: Eukaryota; Metazoa; Chordata; Actinopteri; Cypriniformes; Cyprinidae
Exons: 3
Source: RefSeq, a predicted model, not a curated record